RNAcentral lists this ribosomal RNA (554 nucleotides) under Enterobacter hormaechei. RNAcentral describes it as "bacterial SSU rRNA". It matches the Rfam family "Bacterial small subunit ribosomal RNA", at positions 1 to 544 of the family's 1533-position model. The record is from RNAcentral. Lineage: Bacteria; Pseudomonadati; Pseudomonadota; Gammaproteobacteria; Enterobacterales; Enterobacteriaceae.
AAAUUGAAGAGUUUGAUCAUGGCUCAGAUUGAACGCUGGCGGCAGGCCUAACACAUGCAAGUCGAACGGUAACAGGAAGCAGCUUGCUGCUUUGCUGACGAGUGGCGGACGGGUGAGUAAUGUCUGGGAAACUGCCUGAUGGAGGGGGAUAACUACUGGAAACGGUAGCUAAUACCGCAUAACGUCGCAAGACCAAAGAGGGGGACCUUCGGGCCUCUUGCCAUCGGAUGUGCCCAGAUGGGAUUAGCUAGUAGGUGGGGUAACGGCUCACCUAGGCGACGAUCCCUAGCUGGUCUGAGAGGAUGACCAGCCACACUGGAACUGAGACACGGUCCAGACUCCUACGGGAGGCAGCAGUGGGGAAUAUUGCACAAUGGGCGCAAGCCUGAUGCAGCCAUGCCGCGUGUAUGAAGAAGGCCUUCGGGUUGUAAAGUACUUUCAGCGGGGAGGAAGGCGAUAAGGUUAAUAACCUUGUCGAUUGACGUUACCCGCAGAAGAAGCACCGGCUAACUCCGUGCCAGCAGCCGCGGUAAUACGGAGGGUGCAAGCGUUAA